Molecule: long non-coding RNA, 764 nt
Filed under: Androctonus crassicauda
Lineage: Eukaryota; Metazoa; Arthropoda; Arachnida; Scorpiones; Buthidae
Source: RNAcentral
GGGCUUGUUUCGCCGCGCUACUUAGUAUUCUUACUGAGUGGAAAGUGGCGUCAUCUGUUUAAGGAAGAACAUCUCAACAGAUCCUGCAGCUGUGAAAUAUGCUGUCACAAAGUGCCAGUUUUUGCUUCUUCAGCACAGUGGACAUAUUGAACACCACCAAUGACUUGUUUUUCUUGCAGUCUUGUUCCUAUCUGCGUAUCAUGCAUAACAUGCUCAACGGUAGAUGCAUUAAUAAAAAUUGCCAUAUGGGCCUUGAUGACUAUUGUUGGUAUCUAGCGCAUGCCUCUUCUUUGUACCACUUUUACACUUCGAAAUUAAGCUUCGUAAUUCGACUUCCGUCACGAUUGUGAAAUCGUUUCAUUGCGUUAUGUUCUUAGUAGGAACUGUUCGCAGUACCAUCUCUUCCGCUAUCGGUACUGCUUGGAACUAAUUUUUCUACUUUAUUCGUUUCCCCAUAUCCUCAAAUGCAUACUUCGCAAAUUUGCGUUAUUACGAUCACUGUUUUUUUCUCUACAGUGCUUUGAACAGGGAGAAAUUAAUUUUAACCAUCGGUAAACUCAACAGUCGCCAGAUUCGCCGGUGGAAACGCUUUUGCUUUUUAAUCUGGAGGACCCGAGAUUUGAAUCUGAGUCCUUCAGACCAACUCUUCGAAAUGUUUAUCAUGGGGUCCUGACAGAGCCGUCGAUAUCUGUCCUCCAUAAUCCGACUGACCCCUCCGCAGGGGUGGCUAGAAUGUGGAAGGACUUGUUUCUCCCAGUCAUUUA